Molecule: ribosomal RNA, 467 nt
Filed under: uncultured bacterium
Lineage: Bacteria
Description: partial 16S ribosomal RNA
Rfam family: Bacterial small subunit ribosomal RNA
Source: RNAcentral
ACGAACGCUGGCGGCGUGCUUAACACAUGCAAGUCGAACGGAAAGGCCCUGCUUUUGUGGGGUGCUCGAGUGGCGAACGGGUGAGUAACACGUGAGUAACCUGCCCUUGACUUUGGGAUAACUUCAGGAAACUGGGGCUAAUACCGGAGAGGAGCUCCUGCUGCAUGGUGGGGGUUGGAAAGUUUCGGCGGUUGGGGAUGGACUCGCGGCUUAUCAGCUUGUUGGUGGGGUAGUGGCUUACCAAGGCUUUGACGGGUAGCCGGCCUGAGAGGGUGACCGGCCACAUUGGGACUGAGAUACGGCCCAGACUCCUACGGGAGGCAGCAGUGGGGAAUAUUGCACAAUGGGCGGAAGCCUGAUGCAGCAACGCCGCGUGCGGGAUGACGGCCUUCGGGUUGUAAACCGCUUUCGCCUGUGACGAAGCGUGAGUGACGGUAAUGGGUAAAGAAGCACCGGCUAACUACGUG